Molecule: ribosomal RNA, 229 nt
Filed under: uncultured bacterium
Lineage: Bacteria
Description: partial 16S ribosomal RNA
Rfam family: Bacterial small subunit ribosomal RNA
Source: RNAcentral
UGCGUAGGCGGAAUAUUAGGUCAGUGGUGAAAUCCUGCGGCUCAACCGUAGAACUGCCAUUGAUACUGAUAUUCUUGAAUGUAGUUGAGGUAGGCGGAAUGUGUAAUGUAGCGGUGAAAUGCUUAGAUAUUACACAGAACACCGAUUGCGAAGGCAGCUUACUAAACUAUGAUUGACGCUGAUGCACGAAAGCGUGGGGAGCGAACAGGAUUAGAUACCCUGGUAGUCC